ACGUUCGUAAAAAGAAGAGAUGGUUCGUAUCUCCCUCGAUAGGAAUGGGAAUUCAAAUCGGGCUUUACUUGGUACAGACACAUCCGGUUAAGGCUACCCACCACUUCGGUGGAUCUUACCCAAUGUAUUC
Molecule: non-coding RNA, 130 nt
Organism: Capsicum annuum
Lineage: Eukaryota; Viridiplantae; Streptophyta; Magnoliopsida; Solanales; Solanaceae
Source: Rfam